GCCAGGUGUGGUGGUGCACACCUGUAAUCCCAGCAUCUUGGGAGCCUGAGGCAGGAGGAUUGCAAGUUCAAACCCAGCCUCAGCAAAAGCGAGGUGCUAAGCAACUCAGUGAGACCCUGUCUCUA
This 125-nucleotide small RNA is filed under the name Marmota monax (woodchuck). The record is from RNAcentral. Lineage: Eukaryota; Metazoa; Chordata; Mammalia; Rodentia; Sciuridae.